CAUCUUACCUGUUUAUAUUAGGGGUCAAUAUAAAUAUAUAGAUGUAGAUAA
Molecule: transfer RNA, 51 nt
Filed under: Aeshna mixta
Lineage: Eukaryota; Metazoa; Arthropoda; Insecta; Odonata; Aeshnidae
Description: partial tRNA-Tyr
Source: RNAcentral